RNAcentral lists this ribosomal RNA (445 nucleotides) under uncultured bacterium. Its description in RNAcentral is "partial 16S ribosomal RNA". It matches the Rfam family "Bacterial small subunit ribosomal RNA", at positions 354 to 796 of the family's 1533-position model. The record is from RNAcentral.
GUGAGGAAUAUUGGUCAAUGGGCGAGAGCCUGAACCAGCCAAGUCGCGUGAAGGAAGAAGGAUCUAUGGUUCGUAAACUUCUUUUGCAGGGGAAUAAAGUGCAGGACGUGUUCUGUUUUGUAUGUACCCUGAGAAUAAGGAUCGGCUAACUCCGUGCCAGCAGCCGCGGUAAUACGGAGGAACAGAGCGUUAUCCGGAUUUAUUGGGUUUAAAGGGUGAGGAGGUGGUUUGAUAAGUCAGCGGUGAAAGUUUGCAGCUUAACUGUAAAAAUGCCGUUGAAACUGUCGGACUUGAGUGUAAAUGAGGUAGGCGGAAUGCGUGGUGUAGCGGUGAAAUGCAUAGAUAUCACGCAGAACUCCGAUUGCGAAGGCAGCUUACUAAGCUACAACUGACACUGAAGCACGAAAGCGUGGGGAUCAAACAGGAUUAGAUACCCGUGUAGUCC